This 4495-nucleotide long non-coding RNA is filed under the name Canis lupus familiaris (dog). Its description in RNAcentral is "lncRNA (ENSCAFG00000058958.1)". Lineage: Eukaryota; Metazoa; Chordata; Mammalia; Carnivora; Canidae. The record is from RNAcentral.
CCUCCGACCUUCCCUCGGCGCUCCCCGCGCGGGGCGGUGCCCCCUCUCCCCUCGGCAAGGGCGGGCCAGGCGGCGGAGGAAGCUCUCCCGCUGGAGGCAGACUCCGAGAGAACUAAGCGCCGUGUGGAGAGUCCUGGCCGGCACCUGUGGGCAGAGCCCGGGUUCCGCGGAUCGGACCUGCGCUGUGCUCGCCGUCGGCGGGGACCCCGGGGCUGGCUCGGCCCUCAGCGCCAGGACUGCGACCCUCACUGACCCUCUUUUUUACUUUUUAAAGUAAGGCUACCUGGAAAAGAAUCUAACUACAGAUGUGGCUCCCGUUUGCCUCUCACAUCGCAUCUCAGUGAAACAUGGCUGCUCUGAAAUACCGCUAAAUCCCCUUGAUAGGGACGCCCGGGUGGCUCAGCGGGUGAGCCUCGGCCUCGGCUCAGGGCGCGACCCCCGGACCCGGGAUGGCGUCCUGCGUGGGCUCCCCAGCCUGUGUCUCUGCCUCUCUCUCUCUCAUGACCCUGUCAGACGUUUUCUGCUCCCUUCUUCACAAGACUGCGAGGCUAAAUGACGCCACUAGGCAGUGACAGACGGAGACUUCAGCUCUUCUGACUCAAAGUCCACCUGUGGAAAGAGAGGUUCUGGAAAUGCUUCUCUCUCCAGAGGCAGAAGAUCCUCAAGCCCCCAAAGGACUGGGAGUGUCUCCAAAACGUACACUUGGAUACUGGUUCUGAAAAAAAAAUCUAUAGGGAAAUCGAUUUUGAAGGGAUCUGGAAAAAAGUAACAACAAUCUCUACACCCAACGUGGGGCAUGAAUUCAUGACCCUGAGAUCAAGAGUCAUAUGCCUUACUGACUGAGCCAGCCAGGCAACCGGAAAAAGAAUAAUUUCUGAGUGAGUUUUGAAUGAGACCCAAAAUUUCAACUUUUGACAUCACACAUCACCAAUCUCAGGAAGUUCUGUCCUCUGUGCUAAUAUGUUGAUGAAACACAAUAUGUGUUCCUCUAAUCUGUCAGAAAAUUUUUGGUAAAUGUAGAAAUAAUACAGGAGAUGCAAAAUUUUAUUCAUAGACAUUAGGAAAAAGUGAGAGGCUCAAAAAGAGGAAUGAAAAUAAUAGCAUAUAAAAAAAAAAUCUUGAGCCAGAAGAAAAGUUUAGAACUAGCUCAAAGGAAAGUGGCCAGUGGUUCAGGAAAGGGAGGAGACCUUCUGGGUAUAUGGCUUCCUGGUAUAGGAAGAUUAGCCCAUAAACUGUAUUAAAACGUCCAUUCUAGGGGCGCCUGCGUGGCUCAGUGGUUGAGCUCACCAUUUGGCUCACAGCGUGAUCCUGGUGUCCUGGGAUCAAGCCCCACAUCAGGCUCCCUGCAAGGAGUCUGCUUCUCCCUCACCUUCUGCCCUUCCUCCCCGCUCCCAGGACCCUGGUAUCAUGACCUGAGCCAAAGGCUGACGCUUCACUGACUAAGCCACCUAGGCACCCCUAGAGUGAACCUUUUAAUUGAGCCAGGAAAAGGUUCUUCAGUCAUUGAUCACUAAACCCAUCAGUUACUUCCUGUCUGUGUGGUAGGAUGAAAACAGAUAUAUUUCUCAGUAAAAUGAAAUGCGGUAACCAGGUGAGCAGACCAGAAAGUGAGCCAGAGUAUUGAAAAUGGAAAACACAAGGACAUAAGUCAAGCUCUCAAAAGUAGUCGAGGCCAAGGGUGCUUUUUGAGGGCUAAGAAAAUGUGGUGGGGGUUAUAAGACUGUAUAUAAUUAACCAAACUCAUAAACUGUAUACUUAAAAUAGGUGAAUUCUAUUGUACAUGAGUUAUAUUACAAUAAAGCUAAAUAAUAAAGAAGCUGACUGAGGUAAUACAAGCAGGUCCCUAGGAGAGACUACCUGGACGCUGGGGAGAAUAUACAGAGAAUCCCCUCACUCAUGGAGGGUUAGAAACUGCCUUGUCUGCCACUGAGUGUCUGCAUGUCAGCAAAUAACAAACCAGGAGGCAGAGCUUGGCUAGGGAGACCCUCAAGUGGCCCAGGGCCUGAGAAAAGUCAGCAAAGAUGGUAUCAGAGCACCUGAAACCAAGAAAAGGCAUCCUUAAAGCUGUAUAAUUUUAUUUCAUUUCAUUUCACUUCAUUUUUAAAGCCAUAUAACUUUAAUCCUAUCUUAACAUUUGUAUCUUUUAUGAAACAUUUCACAUACGCUAUUUCACUUCAGUCAGCACAAAAACCUGCUGAGUGAACAAUGCAAAUACUACCUGUCUAUUACACAAAGAAACUGUGAGCAGUAGGGCUGGUGUCGGGACAUGUGCCAGGGACCAACUGAUUGCCCCUCGGCUUCAAAUUCAUCGUCCAGUCCCUGAAGGAAGAUUUCCAAGUUCCAGCAGCACAGCAACUUCUGCUAAUGUCAGUUUUCCCCCAGUGAGGCCUGGAUCCCAGAGAAGAGGACAUUCCUUAGGUGCUCUUCCUUGGCACCCAGGGAAGCACAGAGAACUCGAACGAGUGCAGUCGAAGGAGCCACUCCUGUUCCACUAGCUGAAACACAGCGUUCAGGGCAGACCCAUCUGUGUUGAGAUCUGGACUUUGUUGGAGAGGGCAUGCUAGGAGCAGGGAAGUGCCUUGGUGCUGCAUCCAGGGAACUUGCUGGAAAUCCCUCUGGAGCUUAUCUGAAAUCCACCCUCGAGGGUGCCAGAGGACUCUGUUCUCUGGAAGGUGUGUCCUGGAGACCAGACCCAUUCUAUUGCAAUAUUGCCCCUGGGGUGGGGGAGGGUACGUGGGGGUCCCUGGGAACCUUUAGCUGCUGGGUACUGACGAUCUCUGUCUGCACACCUCCCUCACCAGCACUUAUUGGGUAUUAACAGGAAAACUAGGAAUGUAGUUUACUCAGCAAAAUCUCCUUCUACGUAUUAUCUGCCAGGACAGCUGUUGUGCUAACUGGUUGCCACUCCAGUGACCUUGGGGUGCGUUGAUACCUGUGCACCUGUGUGCUUGCAGAGAAAGACACCUGAUCUCCUUUAGAAGAUCACCAAGUUUUUCCCUCUAAGGAGUAGGAUGAAUAGUUCGUUUUAAAUCAGAUUGUCCUUUCAGUCCCCCGCAGAGUGGAGUUUAUUAUUAUGCCCAAGAGACUAGAUCCAAAUUGACCAGAGGCUGUCAGGAAAUUAGAAGCCCUUCUUCAUCUUAGACUCCAGUUAUCUCAGUUAGGCACUGGGCUGCCAGUAGGGACGUUGCGUGGGACUCUCUAGGCUUGGGGGACCCCUAGAACGCUCAUUAUCCUAGGUGAGGCUGCCAUAUGAGAAAAUGGUGGAGAGUAUGAACUCUUCAUACUCUCUCUGCUCCUAAAUUUUCUAACAUGAGAAUGUCAAGAGUUAAGAAUUUAUUUUCUAGAUCACCGGGUUAUACUUAGAAACAAAGAUGCACCAGCUUUUUUCCUGAAAAUCUCUUUAAAGGUAAAUGUACCACCUAAAAGGUAUUCUUGCUCCAAAAUUGAAUCUGAAUUGAAAACCUAUUGCCAGUUUAAGGAAGUACUGGAAAUAGAGAAAUAUGUUAAACACCAUGUGAAUGCCAUCAGCAAAAUCCAAAGUAUAGGAAAUUUUACAAGACAAAUAAUCGAUUUUUUUUUUCCCAACCACUAAAUGGCAAGUUAAAAAGCUAUCAGGAAGGAUUUGUAGAAUAUAAGAAAAGAUAUUAACAAAUGCAAAACUUAGUGGAUCUUGUUUGAAUUAACCAACUAUAAAAAAGUAAUAAGGGAAAUGUGAACACUGUAUUUUAUGAUGUUAAGACAUUAGGUAUAAUAAUGGUAUUGUGGUUGAGAUACUACCUCCUACCAGUGAGAAUGGUGAAAAUUAACAAGGCAGGAAACAACAAAUGUUAGGGAGGAUGUAGAGAAAGAGGAACUCUCUUGCACUGUUGGUGGGAAUGUGAACUGGUGCAGCCACUCUGGAAAACUGUGUGGAGGUUCCUCAUAGAGUUAAAAAUAGUUCUGCUCCACGACCCAGCAAUUGCACUGCUGGGGAUUUGCCCCAAAGCUGCAGAUGUAGUGAAACACUGGGACACCUGCACUGCAAUCUUCAUGGCAGCAAUGUCCACAAUAGCCAAACUAUGGAAGGAGCCACGAUGUCCUUUGACAGAUGAAUGGAUAAAGAAGAUGUGGUCUAUAUAUACCAUGGAAUAUUACUCAGCCAUGAGAAAGGACAAAUACCCACCAUUUGCUUCGACGUGGAUGGAACUGGAGGGUAUCAUGCUGAGUGAAGUAAGUCAGUCGGAGAAGGACAAUCAUCAUAUGGUUUCACUCAUACAGGGAAUAUAAGAAAUAGUGAAAGGGAUUAUAAAGGAAAGGAGGGAACUGGGUGGAAAAAUUAGGGAGAUAAACCACGAGAGACUCCUAACUCUAGGAAACAAACAAAGAGUUGUGGAAGGGGAGGCGGGUGGGGGGUUGGGGUAACUGGGUGACCGGCACUGAGGAGGGCACUUGAUGGGAUGAGCACUGGGUGUUAUACUAUAUGUUGGCAAAUCGAACUUCAAUAAAAACAAAUUAA